RNAcentral lists this long non-coding RNA (834 nucleotides) under Oncorhynchus kisutch (coho salmon). RNAcentral's name for it is "lncRNA (ENSOKIG00005017686.1)". The record is from RNAcentral. Lineage: Eukaryota; Metazoa; Chordata; Actinopteri; Salmoniformes; Salmonidae.
CAGCUGUGAGGGAGAAGUACGCGGGGCUUUCGUGGCUCGUCUGGUCGAGUUGUCCAAUGAAAAAAAAAAAGGCAUCAGGAAAAGAUAUAGAGAGCUCUGACCAAGACGGUUAUUUCCGUUGGAUUUAGGGACCACUCUGAUUUUCAUUAACAAUUGACCAGAAAGACCAGUUUUUCUGGAUAUCUUAUUUUGGUGUUUUUGGUUUUUGGAGAUCUUUAAUAAGAUAUUACACAGCUGGACAUUGCAUAACAGGGUGGGGAGAACAGAAGGAUUUUGUUGGAUCUGAAGACUGUAGUGGAGGAGGUGCAGCUAGAGGUGAAGAGAGAGGAGUCGAAGAGGAGCGAGCUACAGCUGCAGUACACUAAGGACAGAUGUGCCUGGGAACUGGAGAGAGCUGAGCUGAAAUGCAGAAUCGCACAGGCUACCAGGGCCUACCACCAUGCAUCCUGUGUCUUCGAGCUACCAGGAGUUACCACCAAGCAUCCUGUGUCUUCGGGGCUACCAGGGCCUACCACCAAGCAUCCUGUGUUUUCGAGCUACCAGGAGUUACCACCAAGCAUCCUGUGUCUCGAAGGCUACCAGGGAUUACCACUAAGCAUCCUGUUCUUUGAGGCUACCAGGGCCUACCACCAAGCAUCCUAGUGUCUUCGGGGCUACCAGGGCCUACCACCAAGCAUCCUGUGUCUUCGAGCUACCAGGGCCUACCACCAAGCAUCCUGUGUCUUCGAGCUACCAGGAGUUACCACCAAGCAUCCUGUGUCUUCAGGCUACCAGGAGUUACCACCAAGCAUCCUGUGGUCUUCAGGCUACCAGGGCCUACCACCAAGCAUCCUG